ACGAACGCUGGCGGCAUGCCUAACACAUGCAAGUCGAACGAGACCUUCGGGUCUAGUGGCGCACGGGUGCGUAACGCGUGGGAACCUGCCCUUAGGUUCGGAAUAACUCCCCGAAAGGGGUGCUAAUACCGGAUAAUGUCUUCGGACCAAAGAUUUAUCGCCUUUGGAUGGGCCCGCGUUGGAUUAGCUAGUUGGUAGGGUAAAAGCCUACCAAGGCGACGAUCCAUAGCUGGUCUGAGACGAUGAUCAGCCACACUGGGACUGAGACACGGCCCAGACUCCUACGGGAGGCAGCAGUGGGGAAUAUUGGACAAUGGGCGAAAGCCUGAUCCAGCAAUGCCGCGUGAGUGAUGAAGGCCUUAGGGUUGUAAAGCUCUUUUACCCGGGAUGAUAAUGACAGUACCGGGAGAAUAAGCUCCGGCUAACUCCGUG
Molecule: ribosomal RNA, 432 nt
Filed under: uncultured bacterium
Lineage: Bacteria
Description: partial 16S ribosomal RNA
Rfam family: Bacterial small subunit ribosomal RNA
Source: RNAcentral